UAAUACGUAGGGAGCGAGCGUUAUCCGGAUUUAUUGGGUGUAAAGGGUGCGUAGACGGGAAAACAAGUUAGUUGUGAAAUCCCUCGGCUUAACUGAGGAACUGCAACUAAAACUAUUUUUCUUGAGUACUGGAGAGGAAAGUGGAAUUCCUAGUGUAGCGGUGAAAUGCGUAGAUAUUAGGAGGAACACCAGUGGCGAAGGCGACUUUCUGGACAGAAACUGACGUUGAGGCACGAAAGUGUGGGGAGCAAACAGGAUUAGAUACCCUGGUAGUCCACACUGUAAACGAUGGAUACUAGGUGUAGGGGAUAAUAAAUCUUCUGUGCCGCCGCUAACGCAAUAAGUAUCCCACCUGGGGAGUACGGCCGCAAGGUUGAA
RNAcentral lists this ribosomal RNA (378 nucleotides) under uncultured bacterium. Its description in RNAcentral is "bacterial SSU rRNA". It matches the Rfam family "Bacterial small subunit ribosomal RNA", at positions 521 to 898 of the family's 1533-position model. The record is from RNAcentral.